Molecule: long non-coding RNA, 556 nt
Organism: Glycine soja
Lineage: Eukaryota; Viridiplantae; Streptophyta; Magnoliopsida; Fabales; Fabaceae
Exons: 3
Source: RefSeq, a predicted model, not a curated record
GUUGAAAAGUUGAAAACAUCCCGGGUCUAGGUUUUCUCUCUCGUCCACUCGCAGAUUCAAACAUUUGGGAGGCUGAGGCAUCUCUCUCUGUUUUCUAGAAUGGGAGCUGCGCAUGAAGUCUCCAUCUCACUUGAUGGAGUGAGGGACAAGAACCUUAUGCAGCUCAAAAAGCUCAAUCUCGCUCUUUUCCCUGUUCGUUACAAUGACAAAUACUAUACCAAUGCACUCGCUUCCGGUGAAUUCACCAAACUAGGUUAUGGACAAACAUUUAAAUAUUUUGGCAAAGCAACAUAUCGAGACUCGGUUUGUGAAACUCAACGCUGAGAAGAGUCCUUUUCUCGCUGAGAAGCUCAAGAUCAUUGUUCUUCCAACCCUUGUGGUGUGUCUCUAAACUUGGUCUCAAUGACGGCCUUGUGGUGUGUCUCUAUCUGUAAGAGUUUAUCAUGAUUCUAUAUCUAGUAGAUCUUCUUGAGAUCAUCCUUUUUUUACAGUAAUAUUUUUGAGUUAGCCCCCCCUUUCCCCCGAUUAUAGUAACUUCAUUCAUCUUUGUUAAUAA